AGGGAAUUUUCCGCAAUGGGCGAAAGCCUGACGGAGCAACGCCGCGUGAGUGAGGACGGCCUUCGGGUUGUAAAACUCUGUUCUUGAGGAAGAAUUCCUUCCAGGCGAACAGCCUGGGGGAGGUUGACGGUACUCAAGGAGAAAGCCCCGGCUAACUACGUGCCAGCAGCCGCGGUAAUACGUAGGGGGCGAGCGUUAUCCGGAAUUAUUGGGCGUAAAGCGCGCGCAGGCGGCUGAUUAAGUCAGGUGUGAAAGGCUGCGGCUCAACCGCAGAGCGGCACCUGAAACUGGUCGGCUUGAGUGCAGGAGAGGGGAGCGGAAUUCCCGGUGUAGCGGUGGAAUGCGUAGAGAUCGGGAGGAACACCAGUGGCGAAGGCGGCUCUCUGGCCUGUAACUGACGCUGAGGCGCGAAAGCGUGGGGAGCAAAC
This 428-nucleotide ribosomal RNA is filed under the name uncultured bacterium. Its description in RNAcentral is "bacterial SSU rRNA". It matches the Rfam family "Bacterial small subunit ribosomal RNA", at positions 356 to 773 of the family's 1533-position model. The record is from RNAcentral.